GUUUAAAAUAUGCCAUUCGGUAUCAUGGAAACUUUAGGGUGGAAUUGUAUGAUUAGAGGCUAGCAUGUGGAUGGUUGUUGAAACAACUAAUUGCAAGCACAAUACAAGCUGUAACCUUCUUUCAUGGACCCCCUUACACCAUUUUUGGUCCUUAUAAAUAAAUCCUUUCUCAAAUCACAAACAUAUCAUUGUAAGCCAAGCUGAAGCAAUUAAAAUGGCCCAAGUAAGCAUUGCGAAAAAGGCUUCCAUGAUCGCCGUUGUUGCCAUGGCACUCACGUCGGUAUCCAUUGUGUCGGCUCAAGGCCCAGCGCCUUCUCCUGACGCUGGAGCGGCCUUUUCUCUCCCUGCUUCGGGUGCAAUGGUUGCAACUUCUUUGCUUGUAUCCCUUGUUGCACUAUUGAAACAUUGAUUAUGUUUUUUAUUUCGUGCACAUUCACUUAUUUGUUGAUUUUCUGUUUAUGUUAAUUCUUUUUUAUAUUAUUUGUACAUUGUAAUGUAAUUGAUCCCAUUCGUUUAUGUAUCCAAAUAAUUUAAGUCUGUGGUUAAUUAAUCCAA
This is a long non-coding RNA of Erigeron canadensis, 555 nucleotides long. RefSeq lists it as uncharacterized. The transcript is spliced from 2 exons. NCBI's taxonomy places the organism in Eukaryota, Viridiplantae, Streptophyta, Magnoliopsida, Asterales, Asteraceae. The record is from RefSeq and is a predicted model, not a curated record.